Non-coding RNA from Lolium perenne, 991 nucleotides. The record is from RefSeq and is a predicted model, not a curated record. Lineage: Eukaryota; Viridiplantae; Streptophyta; Magnoliopsida; Poales; Poaceae.
CUGAGCUAUACAGUUUACUGGAGCAACCUACUUUACAGUUUUCUUACUGGAGUAUUUCUAAAACUGGAAUGAUCAUGAUUUUUUGUGAAAAGAUUGGAGGACCUACCAAAUGGAGACAUUGCAAUGUGUUACAGAAUCCAGGAUGCUCCAGCUGCUGCUCUGCUUCAUCCUGCUCUGCUUCAUCAACGCGGACAAUGACGAGGGACGGCUCCGACAGUUGAGGCGAAAACGAUCGACCUUGCGUCCAUGCCUUCUCGUCGAGAAGAAAGACGGCGGGAGAAGGUUGCAGGGUGCAGGCCGGAGGGACGGCUACAGGGUCGGAGGAGAAGCUUGCCCGGCGGUGCCGGCCUCCUCGAGGCGGACGCAUGGGCGCAGGAGGUGAGCGGUGACCGGCGGCGAGAAGCGAGCUCGGCGGAGUGGCCUGCGGGAGAAGGCUGCUGGCGCGGCCGCCGGGGAGGGAUGAGCUAGCCCGGCGGCGCCGCCCUCCUCGAGGCGGACCCAUGGACGCAGGAGGCGAGCAGCGACCGCCGGUGAGAGGCGAGCUUGGUGGAGUGGCCUGCGGGAGAAGGCUGCAGGCGUGGCCGUCAAGGAGGGAUGAGAUACUGGCCCAGCGGCGCCGCCCUCCUUGAGGCGGAACCAUGCGCGACGCGAACUUCGGCGGCGUGAUCUCCGGCGGAACCAUGCGCGGCGCGAUCUCCAGGGAGGCUGGCGGCGUGAUCUCCGGCGGAACCAUGGCGAGAGGCGAUCUCCAGGGAGGCUGGCGGCAGCGCGAGCUCUACGUAGGCCGGCGGCGACAGUCAAGUUCGAUGCAGGCCGGCGGCGCUAGGCGAGCUCGACGGAGGCUGGCGAAUCGCGGGAGGCCGCCGGCCCGCCGGCGCCAGCGCUCGAUCGGGACGAUCAGAUCGAUUGAUCGGGAGUCGAUCGUUUCGACUUUGAAAGCGGGAGGACCAAAAUGUAAAAAAACGGUUCAACUAUGUGUCCGACACCUAAA